This 616-nucleotide ribosomal RNA is filed under the name uncultured bacterium. Its description in RNAcentral is "bacterial SSU rRNA". It matches the Rfam family "Bacterial small subunit ribosomal RNA", at positions 566 to 1188 of the family's 1533-position model. The record is from RNAcentral.
GGUGUGUAGGCGGAACUUUAAGUAGGAAGUGAAAGGUUGGAGCUCAACUCCAACACUGCUCCCUAUACUGGGGUUCUUGAGUCCCGGAGAGGAAGAUGGAACGACACGUGUAGCGGUGAAAUGCGUUGAUAUGUGUCGGAACACCAAUGGCGAAGGCAGUCUUCUGGACGGGAACUGACGCUGAGACACGAAAGCCAAGGGAGCGAACAGGAUUAGAUACCCUGGUAGUCUUGGCCCUAAACUAUGUUCACUAGGUGUCGGGGGUUUCCCUCGGUGCCGCAGCUAACGCAUUAAGUGAACCGCCUGGGGACUACGGCCGCAAGGUUGAAACUCAAAGGAAUUGGCGGGGGCCCGCACAAGCGGUGGAGCAUGUGGCUUAAUUCGAUGCAACGCGAAGAACCUUACCAGGGCUUGACAUGUAGCUGCAAGCCGCCGAAACGUGGUCGCCUUCGAGGGUGCUACACAGGUGGUGCAUGGCUGUCGUCAGCUCGUGUUGUGAAAUGUUGGGUUAAGUCCCGCAACGAGCGCAACCCUCAUGUUCUGUUACCAGCGAGUAAAGUCGGGGACUCGGAACAAACUGCCUCUGUAAGGAGGAGGAAGGUGGGGAUGACGUCAA